AUUCGCGGCCUAUCAGCUUGUUGGUGAGGUAACGGCCCACCAAGGCUAUGACGGGUAGCCGACCUGAGAGGGUCAUCGGCCGCACUGGGACUGAGACACUGCCCAGACUCCUACGGGAGGCAGCAGAGGAGGAUCAUUCGCAAUGGGCGAAAGCCUGACGGUGCGACGCCGCGUGAGGGAUGAAGGCCUUUGGGUUGUAAACCUCUGUCGGGAGUUAGGAACGGCGAGGGCGCUAAUAUCGCUUUCGAUUGACCAACUCCGAAGGAAGCUCCGGCUAACUACGUGCCAGCAGCCGCGGUAAUACGUAGGGAGCGAGCGUUACUCGGAAUCACUGGGCAUAAAGGGCGUGUAGGCGGGUGCGUAAGUCCGGUGUGAAAGCCCUCGGCUCAACCGGGGAAUGCCAUUGGAUACUGCGUGUCUUGAGUGCGGGAGGGGAGAGUGGAACUCUUGGUGGAGCGGUGAAAUGCGUAGAUAUCAAGAGGAACGCCGGUGGCGAAAGCGACUCUCUGGCCCGUUACUGACGCUGAGGCGCGAAAGCCAGGGGAGCGAACGGGAUUAGAUACCCCGGUAGUCCUGGCCCUAAACGAUGGGUACUGGGUAGUGGCGGUUCUGAUGCCGUCUCUGCCGUAGCUAAUGUGAUAAGUACCCCGCCUGGGGAGUACGGAAU
RNAcentral lists this ribosomal RNA (667 nucleotides) under uncultured bacterium. RNAcentral describes it as "bacterial SSU rRNA". It matches the Rfam family "Bacterial small subunit ribosomal RNA", at positions 229 to 888 of the family's 1533-position model. The record is from RNAcentral.